This 498-nucleotide ribosomal RNA is filed under the name uncultured bacterium. RNAcentral's name for it is "partial 16S ribosomal RNA". It matches the Rfam family "Bacterial small subunit ribosomal RNA", at positions 30 to 523 of the family's 1533-position model. The record is from RNAcentral.
AUUGAACGCUGGCGGCAUGCCUUACACAUGCAAGUCGAACGGUAACAGGUCUUCGGAUGCUGACGAGUGGCGAACGGGCGAGUAAUACAUCGGAACGUGCCUAGUAGUGGGGGAUAACUACUCGAAAGAGUGGCUAAUACCGCAUGAGAUCUACGGAUGAAAGCAGGGGAUCGCAAGACCUUGUGCUACUAGAGCGGCCGAUGGCAGAUUAGGUAGUUGGUGGGAUAAAAGCUUACCAAGCCGACGAUCUGUAGCUGGUCUGAGAGGACGAUCAGCCACACUGGGACUGAGAAACGGCCCAGACUCCUACGGGAGGCAGCAGUGGGGAAUUUUGGACAAUGGGCGAAAGCCUGAUCCAGCAAUGCCGCGUGCAGGAUGAAGGCCUUCGGGUUGUAAACUGCUUUUGUACGGAACGAAAAGCCCCGGGUUAAUACCCUGGGGUCAUGACGGUACCGUAAGAAUAAGCACCGGCUAACUACGUGCCAGCCGCCGCCGUAA